Molecule: transfer RNA, 77 nt
Filed under: bacterium
Lineage: Bacteria
Also listed under: 5 other names
Description: tRNA-Arg
Rfam family: tRNA
About the family: Transfer RNA (tRNA) molecules are approximately 80 nucleotides in length. Their secondary structure includes four short double-helical elements and three loops (D, anti-codon, and T loops).
Source: RNAcentral
GCGCCCAUAGCUCAACUGGAUAGAGCGUCUGGCUACGGACCAGGAGGUUGGGGGUUCGAAUCCUCCUGGGCGUACCA